AGUGAGAUGGUUACGUACCAAGGGAACUUUCUCUGGCGCCUCAUUGGCCAUGCCAGAGCAACAAUGCUCAACACCAUAAGCCCUAACCCACUGGCCAAGUAACGAUGAAACAUCUCGACCCAAGCCUUAAGAGGCUCAAGAGGAUGGUCCGGGUAUCGGGCUCCUGCUUGCUCAGUAUUGGGUACGACAAUUUGCCCGUAACAGCCUGGCCAAUCAGGGCACCCAAGACCCGCAUCAACGAGACGUGUCCAGGCGCCCACCAAUAUAACCAAAACGGUUAACCCUCCCCCCCAUAACGUCAACCGUAACAACCAUCCUAGGCGUUUUGAGCUUGCAGCAACCAUACCGUCCUCCCACAAUGGCAGAGUAAGCGCCUCUUAAUAGGGAUUAACUUUCAGUGCAUGCUGAAUAUCUUCCAGUAGCUGCCGUGCUGCCAAAUGCCUAUCAAAAGCAACUACCGCCUGCCCCAUAGGGUCCAACAACCACACACGGUUGGGUUCAACCCAACUCGCAUACAUCGACCAAUGCGUGACCUUUUCCCCUGGUAAAGUUGCCUCACUGCCUCCAAUACGCAGCCGGGUAAGCCGGCCCGCAUCUCGGCCUAACGCUCGAUGAAGGCACCAAAGCUCAUCACUGUGCUCACUACACUCUUGUGAGCAAUCAAACGCUAAGACCCAUGUUUUUGUAUCGAGUACUCUCUUAUCAUCCACUGGCCAUUGCGCUAACUCGGGCACGUUCACAUUAACGUUGCCAUUGGCCAUGCUCUUUUCUGGAAUUCCUACUUGCCAAGACACCAUUGCCCAAGCCAGUAGCAUAGGUGCAGCAAAUAUAAGAAAGACCAGUAUAAGCUUUAAUUUUUGGCGCUUAUGGUAAGACAGAUUAAUCAUGGUGGUUCCUUACUGUUUUGGACGAGUCGCGCAACAGCUGACGUCCGCCGAUCCACAUCAUCACACAGGCAGCAAGCGAUAAUGCCCACCACUGAAACGCAUAACCAAUAUGGCGGGCGGGAGGAAUGGUGCUUGGCUUCCACCAACGCGCAAAUACACCCUCACCUUGCUCGGCGUGGAGCCACCCAGAGUGAUCAAGCUCCCCCAAUGUAUCCAUCCAUGCAUCAGAGCUUAACUGCUGUAGUCGUUUACCCUCACGAUUCGGCCCAUAAACCGGCCCUUGUUCACCUGCCAUUUCCCAUUCACCCUCUAUAGAGACAAGCGUAUCCGGUGUUACCGCACUUGGUUGAGAGCUGCUAACCCCCGUUUCAAUAAAGCCACGCUGAAUUAACCAGAGCUGACCAUGUAAAUCCUUAAAAGGGGUUAAAACUGCGACUCCCAAACGCCCAUUAAGCGUGCGGUUAUCUAGAAAGAGCGUGUACGGUGCAAGGUAAUGCCUGAACCGUUCCGGGAUUCCCGGAGGCUCCAAACCUUGAGAGGAUGGAGCUAUGAGUAAAUCAAAUCGAUAUUCCCCUGAAGUCCGCCAGCGGGCGGUACGCAUGGUCUUCGACCAUGAAGCUGAUUAUCCCUCCCAGUGGGCCGCUAUCGGUGCCAUUGCGCCUAAAAUCGGCUGUAAUCCUGAAACACUGCGCAGCUGGGUCCGCCAGGCGGAGCGUGACGCCGGUCGUCGAGAAGGCACUACGACCUCUGAGCGUGAUCGAAUUAAGGCGCUAGAACGUGAAAAUCGCGGUCGAAGAUACCAGGUGGCUGCAACUGUUUAGUAAAAACACAGCACUCUGCUAACGCGCAAGCGGACGUAUAGGGUGUGACGCCUGCCCGGUGCCGGAAGGUUAAGUGAUGGUGUUAGGAUUCGUCCGAAGCUCUUGAUCGAAGCCCCGGUAAACGGCGGCCGUAACUAUAACGGUCCUAAGGUAGCGAAAUUCCUUGUCGGGUAAGUUCCGACCUGCACGAAUGGCGUAAUGAUGGCCACGCUGUCUCCACCCGAGACUCAGUGAAAUUGAAAUCGCCGUGAAGAUGCGGUGUACCCGCGGCUAGACGGAAAGACCCCGUGAACCUUUACUAUAGCUUCACACUGGACGCUGAUGUUGCCUGUGUAGGAUAGCUGGGAGGCUUAGAAACCCGGACGCCAGUUCGGGUGGAGCCAACCUUGAAAUACCAGCCUGGCAUCAUUGGCGUUCUCACUCAGGUCCGUGAUCCGGAUCGAGGACAGUGUGUGGUGGGUAGUUUGACUGGGGCGGUCUCCUCCCAAAGCGUAACGGAGGAGCACGAAGGUACCCUCAGCACGGUCGGACAUCGUGCAAUGAGUGCAAGAGCAUAAGGGUGCUUAACUGCGAGACAGACACGUCGAGCAGGUACGAAAGUAGGUUCUAGUGAUCCGGUGGUUCUGUAUGGAAGGGCCAUCGCUCAACGGAUAAAAGGUACUCCGGGGAUAACAGGCUGAUACCGCCCAAGAGUUCACAUCGACGGCGGUGUUUGGCACCUCGAUGUCGGCUCAUCACAUCCUGGGGCUGAAGUCGGUCCCAAGGGUAUGGCUGUUCGCCAUUUAAAGUGGUACGCGAGCUGGGUUUAGAACGUCGUGAGACAGUUCGGUCCCUAUCUGCCGUGGGCGUAGGAUGUUUGAGAAGGGCUGCUCCUAGUACGAGAGGACCGGAGUGGACGCACCUCUGGUGUUCCGGUUGUCACGCCAGUGGCAUUGCCGGGUAGCUAAGUGCGGACGGGAUAACCGCUGAAAGCAUCUAAGCGGGAAGCCCCCUUCAAGAUGAGACAUCCCUGAGGCCUUGAGCCUCCUAAAGGGCCCAGCAAGACCAGCUGGUUGAUAGGUCGGAUGUGGACGCGCUGCAAGGCGUUGAGCUAACCGAUACUAAUGGCCCGUGAGGCUUGACCCU
Molecule: ribosomal RNA, 2833 nt
Filed under: Vreelandella massiliensis
Lineage: Bacteria; Pseudomonadati; Pseudomonadota; Gammaproteobacteria; Oceanospirillales; Halomonadaceae
Description: bacterial LSU rRNA
Rfam family: Bacterial large subunit ribosomal RNA (bases 1377-2833)
Source: RNAcentral